UUAAGCGACUAAGCGUACACGGUGGAUGCCCUGGCAGUCAGAGGCGAUGAAGGACGUGCUAAUCUGCGAAAAGCGCCGGCGAGGUGAUAUGAACCUUUGACCCGGCGAUGUCCGAAUGGGGAAACCCAGUGUGAUUCGUCACACUAUCGUUAACUGAAUACAUAGGUUAACGAGGCGAACCGGGGGAACUGAAACAUCUAAGUACCCCGAGGAAAAGAAAUCAACCGAGAUUCCCCCAGUAGCGGCGAGCGAACGGGGAGCAGCCCAGAGUCUGAAUCAGCUUGUGUGUUAGUGGAAGCGUCUGGAAAGUCGCACGGUACAGGGUGACAGUCCCGUACACGAAAGCACACAGGUUGUGAACUCGAAGAGUAGGGCGGGACACGUGGUAUCCUGUCUGAAUAUGGGGGGACCAUCCUCCAAGGCUAAAUACUCCUGACUGACCGAUAGUGAACCAGUACCGUGAGGGAAAGGCGAAAAGAACCCCGGCGAGGGGAGUGAAAAAGAACCUGAAACCGUGUACGUACAAGCAGUGGGAGCACCUUCGUGGUGUGACUGCGUACCUUUUGUAUAAUGGGUCAGCGACUUAUAUUCUGUAGCAAGGUUAACCGUAUAGGGGAGCCGAAGGGAAACCGAGUCUUAACUGGGCGUUAAGUUGCAGGGUAUAGACCCGAAACCCGGUGAUCUAGCCAUGGGCAGGUUGAAGGUUGGGUAACACUAACUGGAGGACCGAACCGACUAAUGUUGAAAAAUUAGCGGAUGACUUGUGGCUGGGGGUGAAAGGCCAAUCAAACCGGGAGAUAGCUGGUUCUCCCCGAAAGCUAUUUAGGUAGCGCCUCGUGAACUCAUCUUCGGGGGUAGAGCACUGUUUCGGCUAGGGGGCCAUCCCGGCUUACCAACCCGAUGCAAACUACGAAUACCGAAGAAUGUUAUCACGGGAGACACACGGCGGGUGCUAACGUCCGUCGUGAAGAGGGAAACAACCCAGACCGCCAGCUAAGGUCCCAAAGUCAUGGUUAAGUGGGAAACGAUGUGGGAAGGCACAGACAGCCAGGAUGUUGGCUUAGAAGCAGCCAUCAUUUAAAGAAAGCGUAAUAGCUCACUGGUCGAGUCGGCCUGCGCGGAAGAUGUAACGGGGCUAAACCAUGCACCGAAGCUGCGGCAGCGACACUAUGUGUUGUUGGGUAGGGGAGCGUUCUGUAAGCCGUUGAAGGUGGCCUGUGAGGGUUGCUGGAGGUAUCAGAAGUGCGAAUGCUGACAUAAGUAACGAUAAAGCGGGUGAAAAGCCCGCUCGCCGGAAGACCAAGGGUUCCUGUCCAACGUUAAUCGGGGCAGGGUGAGUCGACCCCUAAGGCGAGGCCGAAAGGCGUAGUCGAUGGGAAACAGGUUAAUAUUCCUGUACUUGGUGUUACUGCGAAGGGGGGACGGAGAAGGCUAUGUUAGCCGGGCGACGGUUGUCCCGGUUUAAGCAUGUAGGCGGANUUAUUAACGCUGAGGUGUGAUGACGAGGCACUACGGUGCUGAAGUAACAAAUGCCCUGCUUCCAGGAAAAGCCUCUAAGCAUCAGGUAACAUCAAAUCGUACCCCAAACCGACACAGGUGGUCAGGUAGAGAAUACCAAGGCGCUUGAGAGAACUCGGGUGAAGGAACUAGGCAAAAUGGUGCCGUAACUUCGGGAGAAGGCACGCUGAUAUGUAGGUGAAGCCCCUGCGGGUGGAGCUGAAAUCAGUCGAAGAUACCAGCUGGCUGCAACUGUUUAUUAAAAACACAGCACUGUGCAAACACGAAAGUGGACGUAUACGGUGUGACGCCUGCCCGGUGCCGGAAGGUUAAUUGAUGGGGUUAGCGGCAACGCGAAGCUCUUGAUCGAAGCCCCGGUAAACGGCGGCCGUAACUAUAACGGUCCUAAGGUAGCGAAAUUCCUUGUCGGGUAAGUUCCGACCUGCACGAAUGGCGUAAUGAUGGCCAGGCUGUCUCCACCCGAGACUCAGUGAAAUUGAACUCGCUGUGAAGAUGCAGUGUACCCGCGGCAAGACGGAAAGACCCCGUGAACCUUUACUAUAGCUUGACACUGAACACUGGUCCUUGAUGUGUAGGAUAGGUGGGAGGCUUUGAAGUGUGGACGCCAGUCUGCAUGGAGCCGUCCUUGAAAUACCACCCUUUAAUGGCUGGUGUUCUAACGUAGACCCGUAAUCCGGGUUGCGGACAGUGUCUGGUGGGUAGUUUGACUGGGGCGGUCUCCUCCCAAAGAGUAACGGAGGAGCACGAAGGUUAGCUAAUCCUGGUCGGACAUCAGGAGGUUAGUGCAAUGGCAUAAGCUAGCUUGACUGCGAGAGUGACGGCUCGAGCAGGUGCGAAAGCAGGUCAUAGUGAUCCGGUGGUUCUGAAUGGAAGGGCCAUCGCUCAACGGAUAAAAGGUACUCCGGGGAUAACAGGCUGAUACCGCCCAAGAGUUCAUAUCGACGGCGGUGUUUGGCACCUCGAUGUCGGCUCAUCACAUCCUGGGGCUGAAGUAGGUCCCAAGGGUAUGGCUGUUCGCCAUUUAAAGUGGUACGCGAGCUGGGUUUAGAACGUCGUGAGACAGUUCGGUCCCUAUCUGCCGUGGGCGCUGGAGAAUUGAGGGGGGCUGCUCCUAGUACGAGAGGACCGGAGUGGACGCAUCACUGGUGUUCGGGUUGUCAUGCCAAUGGCACUGCCCGGUAGCUAAAUGCGGAAAAGAUAAGUGCUGAAAGCAUCUAAGCACGAAACUUGCCCCGAGAUGAGUUCUCCCUGAGACUUUAAGUCUCCUGAAGGAACGUUGAAGACGACGACGUUGAUAGGUCGGGUGUGUAAGCGCAGCGAUGCGUUGAGCUAACCGAUACUAAUGAAACCGUGAGGCUUAACCUU
Molecule: ribosomal RNA, 2883 nt
Filed under: Enterobacter cloacae
Lineage: Bacteria; Pseudomonadati; Pseudomonadota; Gammaproteobacteria; Enterobacterales; Enterobacteriaceae
Description: bacterial LSU rRNA
Rfam family: Bacterial large subunit ribosomal RNA
Source: RNAcentral